ACGAACGCUGGCGGCAUGCCUCACACCUGCAAGUCGAACGAGACCUUCGGGUCUAGUGGCGCACGGGUGCGUAACGCGUGGGAACCUGCCUUUAGGUUCGGAAUAACUCAGAGAAAUUUGAGCUAAUACCGGAUGAUGUCUUCGGACCAAAGAUUUAUCGCCUUUAGAUGGGCCCGCGUUGGAUUAGCUAGUUGGUGGGGUAAAGGCCUACCAAGGCGACGAUCCAUAGCUGGUCUGAGAGGAUGAUCAGCCACACUGGGACUGAGACACGGCCCAGACUCCUACGGGAGGCAGCAGUGGGGAAUAUUGGACAAUGGGCGAAAGCCUGAUCCAGCAAUGCCGCGUGAGUGAUGAAGGCCUUAGGGUUGUAAAGCUCUUUUACCCGAGAUGAUAAUGACAGUAUCGGGAGAAUAAGCUCCGGCUAACUCCGUG
RNAcentral lists this ribosomal RNA (432 nucleotides) under uncultured bacterium. RNAcentral describes it as "partial 16S ribosomal RNA". It matches the Rfam family "Bacterial small subunit ribosomal RNA", at positions 29 to 507 of the family's 1533-position model. The record is from RNAcentral.